This is a long non-coding RNA of Oncorhynchus nerka (sockeye salmon), 629 nucleotides long. RefSeq lists it as uncharacterized. The record is from RefSeq and is a predicted model, not a curated record. NCBI's taxonomy places the organism in Eukaryota, Metazoa, Chordata, Actinopteri, Salmoniformes, Salmonidae. The transcript has 2 exons.
CGUUGUCUCUGAUUGAGAACCAUACUUAGGUAGCCUUUUCCCACCUGUGUUUUGUGGGUAGUUGUUUUCUGUUUUUGUGUCUGCACCAGACAGAACUGUUUUGGUUUCGUUCGUUCUCUUUGUUAUUUUUGUUAUUCAGUGUUCAGUUCUAUGAAUAAAUCAUGAACACUUACCACGCUGCGCUUUGGUCCACUUCUUCAUGCAACGAUGACCGUAACAGAACUACCCACCACCAAAGGACCAAGCAGCGUGGCCAGGAUAGGCAGCCCCAAUACGGGACGGUCGGCGAAGCCCGAGGAUGGAACCAGAGCCAGUCGGGGUGAAAUUGGAGGGAAGAGGAAACACUGCGAGCACAACCAGCGAAUACCUGAACUUCAUGAGGGAGACCGAGGCCUCAUACCUGGAGACACUUGAGGCCCAGCGUCAGUAGCGGGAUCAGCACUUCAAUCAACUAUGUGAAGAUGAGUCAGCAGCCAGAGAGCCAGUGUUCUUAAUGUUUUGUAUACUCAGUGUAUACUUGUUGGGGUGGGAUUGGUAUUGGGUGUGGGUCCGUGGUUGUCUUUUGUCCAUUCGUUUGGAUUCCUAAUGUCUAACUCAUUGUUAUAAAAAAAAGUUUGAUUCAAAUAUGA